GAUGAACGCUGGCGGCGUGCCUAAUACAUGCAAGUCGAGCGAACGGACGCGAAGCUUGCUUCUCUGUUGUUAGCGGAGGACGGGAGAGUCACACGUGGAUCCCCUACCUAUAUGACUGGGAACACUUCGGGAAACCGUAGAUAAUCCCGGAUAAUAUUCUGAACCGCAUGGUUCAAAAGUGAAAGACGGUCUUGGUGUCACUUAUCGAUGGAUACGCGCUGCAUUAGCUGGUUGGGAAGGUUACGGCUUACCACGGCAACGAUGCCUAGCCGACCUGAUAGAGUGAUCGGCCGCAUGGGAGGGGAGACAGGGUCCAUACUCCUACGAGAGGCAGCAGUAGCGUACCGGCGGCAGUGGGCGAAAGCCUGACGCAGCGAGGCCGAGUGAGUUGUGAAGGUCUUCGGAGCGUAAUACUCGGUUAUUAGGUAAGAACAGAUGUGUAAUUAACUGAGCACAGCGUGACGGUACCGAAUCAGAAAGCCACGGCUAACUACGUG
This 497-nucleotide ribosomal RNA is filed under the name uncultured bacterium. RNAcentral's name for it is "partial 16S ribosomal RNA". It matches the Rfam family "Bacterial small subunit ribosomal RNA", at positions 28 to 507 of the family's 1533-position model. The record is from RNAcentral.